AGGUUGGCUCAGAAGCAGCCAUCCUUUAAAGAGUGCGUAACAGCUCACUAGUCGAGUGACCCUGCGCCGAAAAUGUACCGGGGCUAAGCCUGAUACCGAAACUGCGGAUUGUAGGAAACUAUAGUGGUAGGGGAGCGUUGUAUACGAGCAGAAGCCGUACCGUGAGGAGCGGUGGAUUGUAUAGAAGUGAGAAUGCCGGUGUGAGUAGCGAGAUGUAGGUGAGAAUCCUACACACCGAAAGCCCAAGGAUUCCAGGGGAAGGUUCGUCCGCCCUGGGUAAGUCGGGACCUAACGCGAGGCCGAAAGGCGUAGUGGAUGGAAAGCAGGCGAAAGAUUCCUGCACCCGUAUAUGGAGCGAAGGAGUGACGGAGACGGAUAGUGUGACCCUCUUAAUGGAUUGAGGGCGAAGCGAAGCGGCUGGUUACCAGGCAAAUCCGGUAACCUUAAGGCUAGAGCGUGACAGGUAAGCGAAAUCUACGGAAAGUAGCGAAGCACAUGAUGACGGCUUCCAGGAAAAGCUUCUGGCAAUGCAUAUGCGGCCCGUACCAAAACCGACACAGGUGGGCAGGGAGAGAAUCCCGAGGUGAGCGAGAGAACUGUUGCCAAGGAACUCGGCAAAAUGACUCCGUAAGUUAGCGAGAAGGAGUGCUUAAGCAAUUAAGCCGCAGUGAAGAGGCCCAAGCGACUGUUUAACUAAAACACAGCUCUCUGCGAAGUCGCAAGACGAAGUAUAGGGGGUGACACCUGCCCGGUGCUGGAAGGUUAAGAGGAUCUGUUAAGAGCGAUCUGAAGCAGUGAUCCGAAGCCCCAGUGAACGGCGGCCGUAACUAUAACGGUCCUAAGGUAGCGAAAUUCCUUGUCAGGUAAGUUCUGACCCGCACGAAAGGUGUAACGAUUUGGGCGCUGUCUCGGCAGCAGACUCGGUGAAAUCUUAGUACCUGUGAAAAUGCAGGUUACCCGCAACUAGACGGAAAGACCCCAUGGAGCUUUACUGCAGCCUGAUAUUGAAUUCUGGUCAUACAUGUACAGGAUAGGUGGGAGACAAAGAGACGUGCACGCCAGUGUACGAGGAGUCGCCGUUGGGAUACCACUCUUGUGUGACCGGGGUUCUAACCUGGUAUCGAGAACAGGUACGGGGAGAGUGUCAGGUGGGCAGUUUGACUGGGGCGGUCGCCUCCCAAAGAGUAACGGAGGCGCCCAAAGGUACGCUCAGUCCCGGGCAGCCUGGAUUUUCCUUACUUCUGCUUUGCAGCCAAGUCCGCCAGCGCGUCCUUACGGGACAGAUUGAUGCGUCCCUGCUGGUCGAUCUCGGUGACCUUUACCAGAAGCUCGUCGCCCACAGCCACGACAUCUUCCACCUUCUCCACGCGCUUGGUGUCCAGCUUGGAGAUAUGCACCAGGCCCUCUUUGCCCGGGGCAAUCUCUACGAACGCGCCGAACGUCAUCAGACGGGUGACCUUGCCCUUAUAGAUGGCGCCGAUCUCCGGGUCCUCCACAAUGGUCUUGAUGGUGUGCAUGGCGCGCUCCGCGUCCGCGAUGUCGAUGGCGGAGAUGAAUACGCUGCCGUCUUCCUCGAUGUCGAUCUUCGCGUUGCAGUUGGCGCAGAUCUCCUGAAUGACCUUGCCGCCCUUGCCGAUGACGUCGCGGAUCUUAUCCACAUCGAUCUUCAUGGACAGCAUCUUGGGCGCGUACUUGGAAAGCUCCGCGCGCGGCUCGGCGAU
Molecule: ribosomal RNA, 1721 nt
Filed under: human gut metagenome
Description: bacterial LSU rRNA
Rfam family: Bacterial large subunit ribosomal RNA
Source: RNAcentral